AUUGGGGGGAAAUGAUUCAGUUUUCAAACAAAUUGCUUCUCGAAUAGCCUUCUGGCAUGAAUUAAGUUCAAGAACUGCAGUUUCAAUGUAUUCGGGAACUCACUGAAUUAUUCUAAAGCUCAAUUAUUUCACAAUCAAAAGUAGUGUAUCUCGUAACACAUUAUCUAGGAUGAGUUCUGGAAUGGGACAUGACAUCUUUUUCUAAAAAUUGUAGAAUCCAUUUUAUACAUAAAGGUUUAAACCUUGCGUCUGCUCUCUUCUUGCUCAGAUUUUGAAAAAUAAUUUUAGCAAAUACUUAGUUUCUUUUGAACACAAAACCCUUUGGAACUCCUUUUGAUUGGCCCAUCCCAAAGUCAAAGCUAUACUAUUUUCCUAAGCCCUAACAUUCGUAUUCUGAUUUCUCAUAAUUGGCCCACAUUUUCUUAUUUGGUCUUACCUUGUGAACAGUGGGUGGGGUUCCUCUUCCAAUUAGACCAAGGUUUUCCUUACAGUUCUAGUCUUCCCUCCCCAAAUGUUCUCUGAAACAUUUCGUUAGAUUUGUGGGAUGUAAGCAAAGUCACUUUAUUUUUUCUAAAUAAAAUUAAUCUGACUCUAAGCCUCUUCCUGUUGAGGCAACAGGAAAUUCAGUCGGUGAUUAUUUCCAUCAGUUCACAGAUGUAUAAAAGUCUUAGAGGAAGGUUAUACAAAGCAACAUUCGGGGAGAUCCCUGGUCUUCAGUCAUUCGACAAAUGUUUAAGUGCCUGCUGUACCAGUUCUGGAGGUGAGAAAUCCAAAAUCAUUUUACUGCACAAAAGUCAGUGUUGACAGGACAAGGACCUCAGUCCUAUAGCUUCAAGGAACUGAAUUCUGCCAACAACCAGUGAGCUUAGAAGAGCAUUGUAAAUCGCAGAUGAGAUAGCAGCCCAGGCUGACAUGUUGACUGCAGCCUUGUGAGAUCCCGAACAGAGUACUCAGCCAAGCUGUGCCUGGAUUCCAGACCCAUGGAAACUGUUGCAACAGUUUUCAGAAAUGAUCAGAGUCCAGUGACAAGCAACAAAACCCGUGGUCUGAGUCUCACUCCCAUUUCCUGGUGUCUUCAUCUUCCUCCCCAUUUGUCUUCCCAUCAUUGCUGUUCUGUGUACCAAGCCAAGAGCCCAGAAAUAUCUGACUAAAACAAGUCAAGUGUUCACAUAUGUUGAUUUCCAAAAAAGCCAACCAAAACAGAAAUGAACUAAAAAGGACAAAAUAUUAAAAAUUCUUCUAAAUCAUUUACUUUUCAAUGGGCCUCCAUUUUGGAUUUCUAGUAUAUGUUCUUUCUGAAGCUCCUGUCUUCCAGGCUCACAGAAUCUGCAGUGGCAGCAUUUAUCUUUUUGAGUGUGUCCAAGUUUAAGGUUUGAAGUAAUUAUGAAGAACAUCUGACUAGGAGAAAAACAAAAGCCAAUAAGAAAACUUGUGAAAAGGGGAGAAAAGUCAAGUAUGGUCGGCCCUGAUAUGUACCAUGAAGAGCCCUCUUCAAGGAAAGAUUUGCUGACCAGCAGUAGGAAAUGCAACCAGUAGACAGCCUCCAGCUGUCAGCUUCUUCAGGAGCUGCCUCAGCUGCAGAGUCUCUGCCUGAAGUCAUGCCCAUCUUGGGGCAGUCUGGAUCUGGUGACUGAACAUGGGCUGGUCAUUUUUUUUCAGGGAUAUAAAGUCCCAGGCAGUUAUUUUGGGACAAUGCCAAAGGACAUUUUUCACUCCAGAGCUCCCACUAGGCUGGCCUAUGUUGCAGUUUGACUUUUCCCUCUGCCAAUCCUGCUCCCCCCACUUUCUGUCACGGGUGUUGAUUUUAAUAAACAUCUUGUGCCCAAAA
Molecule: long non-coding RNA, 1828 nt
Organism: Myotis brandtii (Brandt's bat)
Lineage: Eukaryota; Metazoa; Chordata; Mammalia; Chiroptera; Vespertilionidae
Exons: 5
Source: RefSeq, a predicted model, not a curated record